RNAcentral lists this ribosomal RNA (429 nucleotides) under Triticum aestivum (bread wheat). Its description in RNAcentral is "partial small subunit ribosomal RNA". The record is from RNAcentral. Lineage: Eukaryota; Viridiplantae; Streptophyta; Magnoliopsida; Poales; Poaceae.
AUGCAAACAAAGGAGGUGUUUACCUGUGAAUGCUUUGGUUCAUCAACCAUGAUCUUCUUCAAGCUUGUGUCCCAAAACAUGGAGGAAACGCCAUCACUUUGCUGCUUUUGUGUCCGGGUUAGAGAAGAAGGGGGUGGACCCGUUAAAAGUUUUUAUUUGAUUUGUGCGGUUUGUUUAAAUGAGUGGGACAGGAAAAGGGACAUACAGGGGACAAGGGACAGAGGACAACUGUCACAUUCCAGUUGGCUGGAAAAUCCGGAUGAAACCCAAUUGGUUUUCAGCCGGAUGCCAAUUAGACAGUCCCUUGUUUUUUGUCCGAGCCGGACCCGGAAGGAAGCUGGUUCCAUACUCUCUCUCUUUUUUUUUUUGAAAAGGAGCUGGUUCCAACCGUUUCGUCCCUCACAACAGUGCCAUGCUGGGCGGCAAUGA